GGGGAAUCUUCCGCAAUGGACGAAAGUCUGACGGAGCAACGCCGCGUGAGUGAUGACGGCCUUCGGGUUGUAAAGCUCUGUUAAUCGGGACGAAAGGCCUUCUUGCGAAUAGUUAGAAGGAUUGACGGUACCGGAAUAGAAAGCCACGGCUAACUACGUACCAGCAGCCGCGGUAAUACGUAGGUGGCAAGCGUUGUCCGGAAUUAUUGGGCGUAAAGCGCGCGCAGGCGGAUUGGUCAGUCUGUCUUAAAAGUUCGGGGCUUAACCCCGUGAUGGGAUGGAAACUGCCAAUCUAGAGUAUCGGAGAGGAAAGUGGAAUUCCUAGUGUAGCGGUGAAAUGCGUAGAUAUUAGGAAGAACACCAGUGGCGAAGGCGACUUUCUGGACGAAAACUGACGCUGAGGCGCGAAAGCCAGGGGAGCGAACGGGAUUAGAUACCCCGGUAGUCCUGGCCGUAAACGAUGGGUACUAGGUGUAGGAGGUAUCGACCCCUUCUGUGCCGGAGUUAACGCAAUAAGUACCCCGCCUGGGGAGUACGACCGCAAGGUUG
RNAcentral lists this ribosomal RNA (549 nucleotides) under uncultured bacterium. RNAcentral's name for it is "bacterial SSU rRNA". It matches the Rfam family "Bacterial small subunit ribosomal RNA", at positions 356 to 896 of the family's 1533-position model. The record is from RNAcentral.